AUAGUAUGUAAUAUAUAAAACUAUACAUUUGUUUUUGAAAUAUAAUCUGGACCAACGUAAUUCAUGAAGAUCAAUAAUCUGGCCCAACGUACUCAAAGUACUAAGCCCAUCAGAAACCAAUUGGAACAUAAAAAUUAAGUUACGUUAGUAAAUAAAGUAAACUAUUCAGAAAAAUCAGGAAACGUCUUCUCGGUGUCUGUCUCUCUGAUCUGUUCAUCUUUCUCUUUUUUUUUUCAAAAGUGUUCAACUUUCUGGAUAUUCAUAAUCAUCAAAGUAAAAAAAAAACUAUACAAAUCCAGAGCAAAACACAGAUUUAUGGUGAAUUUGAUACUCGAUCUAUCGGGUACAGUUUUUUUUAAUUAACCACAAUGUCCGGCGACCGAAGUCAACCGACUAAUCUGUGCCUCCAGCGAUACCGACAUUUGUAGAUUUCCCAGUGGCCAACGGGAAUUGAACUGCAGUUUCGCUACUACAGGGAUAGAAGCCUGAAGAGUUAGUUUUUGGAUAUUAAAGAAAAUAGAACACAAUAUUGUUUUCAUUAACGGAUAGAUCACGUUCUUCUGAAUAGAAAAGGUGACUCAAAAAUAAUUGCAAAAGUUGUUGAUUUAUUCGAAUUGAGAACACCAUAA
This is a long non-coding RNA of Brassica napus (rape), 629 nucleotides long. RefSeq lists it as uncharacterized. The record is from RefSeq and is a predicted model, not a curated record. NCBI's taxonomy places the organism in Eukaryota, Viridiplantae, Streptophyta, Magnoliopsida, Brassicales, Brassicaceae. The transcript is spliced from 2 exons.